UACAGAGACCUCGAGCGUUAUCCGGAUUGAUUGGGCGUAAAGAGUACGUAGGCGGCUUAUUAAGCCGGUGGUUAAAUUUUUCGGCUCAACCGGAAAACCGCCACUGGAACUGGUAAGCUAGAGUAUGGAAUAGGUUAGCGGAAUUGCCGGUGUAACGGUAAAAUGUGUUAAUAUCGGCAAGAACACCAGAGGAGAAAUCGGCUAACUGGGACAUUACUGACGCUGUUGUACGAAAGCGUGGGGAGCGAAUGGGAUUAGAUACCCCAGUAGUCCACGCCCUAAACGAUGAAUACUAGUCAUUGGAAGUAUCGACCCUUUCAGUGGCGUUUAAAAUAGCUAACGCAUUAAGUAUUCCGCCUGGGAAGUACGAUCGCAAGAUUAAA
RNAcentral lists this ribosomal RNA (383 nucleotides) under uncultured bacterium. Its description in RNAcentral is "bacterial SSU rRNA". It matches the Rfam family "Bacterial small subunit ribosomal RNA", at positions 524 to 898 of the family's 1533-position model. The record is from RNAcentral.